UACGGGAGGCAGCAGUGGGGAAUAUUGCACAAUGGGCGCAAGCCUGAUGCAGCCAUGCCGCGUGUAUGAAGAAGGCCUUCGGGUUGUAAAGUACUUUCAGUCGUGAGGAAGGUGUUAAGGUUAAUAACCUUAGCAAUUGACGUUAGCGACAGAAGAAGCACCGGCUAACUCCGUGCCAGCAGCCGCGGUAAUACGGAGGGUGCGAGCGUUAAUCGGAAUUACUGGGCGUAAAGGGCACGCAGGCGGUUAAUUAAGUUGGAUGUGAAAUCCCCGGGCUUAACCUGGGAAUGGCAUUCAAGACUGGUUAGCUAGAGUCUUGUAGAGGGGGUAGAAUUCCAUGUGUAGCGGUGAAAUGCGUAGAGAUGUGGAGGAAUACCGGUGGCGAAGGCGGCCCCUGGACAAAGACUGACGCUCAUGUGCGAAAGCGUGGGGAGCAAACAGAAUUAGAUACC
RNAcentral lists this ribosomal RNA (452 nucleotides) under uncultured bacterium. Its description in RNAcentral is "bacterial SSU rRNA". It matches the Rfam family "Bacterial small subunit ribosomal RNA", at positions 340 to 786 of the family's 1533-position model. The record is from RNAcentral.